Boleophthalmus pectinirostris (great blue-spotted mudskipper) is the source of this 448-nucleotide long non-coding RNA. RefSeq lists it as uncharacterized. The transcript has 4 exons. The record is from RefSeq and is a predicted model, not a curated record. Lineage: Eukaryota; Metazoa; Chordata; Actinopteri; Gobiiformes; Gobiidae.
GCCACAGUUGGCCUGGGGGAGACUGAUGGAAGCAAAGCUGCCAAUCUGUGACACCGGCCCUCCUGAACAUUUACAACCACACAACAUUCAGUCACAGGAAGCCAGAGUGAGAGGAAAGUGCCGCAAGGGUCAACUGAGAACAACCAGCCUUGUGUUUCUUUCAUUGAAGACAUGACAUCACUGAGCGACAAAGCUAGGAGGGCACCCACGUUAGCCCCACCCCUCACCCCUCGUGGGCACUGAAGCUUUUGUACAUACUUCUAGUGGAGAUGGCAUUUGGAAUGGUCAUGAUGGCAUCAAUGUCAACAAACUACCUCACAAGCUCCAGAUGUUUCUGGACCACACAAUACAGUUUAAAAGAACCUGGGUAUAUAGAGCCUUAACCUACAUAAGAGGACACAUUUUACUCAUUCUCAGAAGACGUCUCUCAUGUGAAAGCUCAGAUCCU